RNAcentral lists this ribosomal RNA (496 nucleotides) under uncultured bacterium. RNAcentral describes it as "partial 16S ribosomal RNA". It matches the Rfam family "Bacterial small subunit ribosomal RNA", at positions 28 to 506 of the family's 1533-position model. The record is from RNAcentral.
GAUGAACGCUGGCGGCGUGCCUAAUACAUGCAAGUCGAGCGAACGGACGAGAAGCUUGCUUCUCUGAUGUUAGCGGCGGACGGGUGAGUAACACGUGGAUAACCUACCUAUAAGACUGGGAUAACUUCGGGAAACCGGAGCUAAUACCGGAUAAUAUUUUGAACCGCAUGGUUCAAAAGUGAAAGACGGUCUUGCUGUCACUUAUAGAUGGAUCCGCGCUGCAUUAGCUAGUUGGUAAGGUAACGGCUUACCAAGGCAACGAUGCAUAGCCGACCUGAGAGGGUGAUCGGCCACACGGGAAAUGAGACACGGUCCAGACCCCUACGGGGGGCAGCAGUAGGGAAUCUUCCGCAAUGGGCGAAAGCCUGACGGAGCAACGCCGCGGGGGUGAUGAAGGUCUUCGGAUCGUAAAACUCUUUUAUUAGGGAAAAACAUAUGUGUAAGUAACUGUGCACCUCUUGACGGUACCUAAUCAGAAAGCCCCGGCUAACUACGU